This 387-nucleotide ribosomal RNA is filed under the name uncultured bacterium. Its description in RNAcentral is "bacterial SSU rRNA". It matches the Rfam family "Bacterial small subunit ribosomal RNA", at positions 30 to 417 of the family's 1533-position model. The record is from RNAcentral.
AUUGAACGCUGGCGGCAUGCCUUACACAUGCAAGUCGAACGGUAACGGGCCUUCGGGUGCCGACGAGUGGCGAACGGGUGAGUAAUGCAUCGGAACGUACCUUUCAGUGGGGGAUAACGUAGCGAAAGUUACGCUAAUACCGCAUAUUCUGUGAGCAGGAAAGCAGGGGAUCGCAAGACCUUGCGCUGAUUGAGCGGCCGAUGUCAGAUUAGCUAGUUGGUGAGGUAAAAGGCUCACCAAGGCGACGAUCUGUAGCGGGUCUGAGAGGAUGAUCCGCCACACUGGAACUGAGACACGGUCCAGACUCCUACGGGAGGCAGCAGUGGGGAAUUUUGGACAAUGGGGGGCAACCCUGAUCCAGCCAUGCCGCGUGAGUGAAGAAGGCCU